Molecule: ribosomal RNA, 468 nt
Filed under: uncultured bacterium
Lineage: Bacteria
Description: partial 16S ribosomal RNA
Rfam family: Bacterial small subunit ribosomal RNA
Source: RNAcentral
GACGAACGCUGGCGGCGUGCUUAACACAUGCAAGUCGAACGGAAAGGCCCUGCUUUUGUGGGGUGCUCGAGUGGCGAACGGGUGAGUAACACGUGAGUAACCUGCCCUUGACUUUGGGAUAACUUCAGGAAACUGGGGCUAAUACCGGAUAGGAGCUCCUGCUGCAUGGUGGGGGUUGGAAAGUUUCGGCGGUUGGGGAUGGGCUCGCGGCUUAUCAGCUUGUUGGUGGGGUAGUGGCUUACCAAGGCUUUGACGGGUAGCCGGCCUGAGAGGAUGACCGGCCACAUUGGGACUGAGAUACGGCCCAGACUCCUACGGGAGGCAGCAGUGGGGAAUAUUGCACAAUGGGCGAAAGCCUGAUGCAGCAACGCCGCGUGCGGGAUGACGGCCUUCGGGUUGUAAACCGCUUUCGCCUGUGACGAAGCGUGAGUGACGGUAAUGGGUAAAGAAGCACCGGCUAACUACGUG